RNAcentral lists this transfer RNA (68 nucleotides) under Rattus norvegicus (Norway rat). It matches the Rfam family "tRNA". From Rfam's summary of the family: Transfer RNA (tRNA) molecules are approximately 80 nucleotides in length. Their secondary structure includes four short double-helical elements and three loops (D, anti-codon, and T loops). The record is from Rfam by way of RNAcentral. Lineage: Eukaryota; Metazoa; Chordata; Mammalia; Rodentia; Muridae.
GGGAAUUUAGCUCAGUGGUAGAGCGCUUGCCUAGCAAGCGCGAGGCCCUGGGUUCGGUCCCCAGCUCU